Molecule: long non-coding RNA, 1542 nt
Organism: Parus major (Great Tit)
Lineage: Eukaryota; Metazoa; Chordata; Aves; Passeriformes; Paridae
Exons: 6
Source: RefSeq, a predicted model, not a curated record
GCUCCGAGCGCCGCCUCUGCCCUCAGCCUCCGUCCCCAGCCCUCAGCCUCUGUCCUCCGCCCCGCUUCCCUGACCGGGAGCCCCGGUCCCGCCAAAGCCCAGCCCCGGCCGUGUGGAAGUCUUCUCUGGAGGCAGCUCUGCUGUAAGUGCCACGCCAAGUCGGAGAUGUGGAUUUGUUGGCCAGAAGAGAUGAAGAAGGAAAUCUUCUUUCUUUGGUGGUGAUCCCAUUCUGUGGUGUAACUACACCUGUUCUUUGUACUUUGUCUCAAGCAAUAAAUGCACCUCAAGAAUAGUUCAGGGAACUUGCCAGUGUGAUCUGGAUUUCACCACAGCUCUGGUGGAGUUUGAGGCCAGAAGAUGGAACUCCCUGGCUACCACCCACCUGCAGCAGCAGCUUCAGCUGGGAUCAGAAGCACUGUGGAAAUGGCAGUGGAUAUUACAUGGGAUGGCCCUCACAUGCUCAGCUCCAUUAGCUUGGACAAUUCAAGAGGAUCUCAGCUGGGUUUCCUGGCCACAGGUUACACAGGUGACAAGAUUGAAACACAGAAAAUAAAAAUUUUUCCAAGGUCUCCUGGAAGGCAAAUGGUGCUGCUGGAGGAAAAGCCAAUCGGUUCAGAGGUCUGGGCCAGUUCUCCAAGUGCUCUACUGCCUCCUUUGUUUCCAACUCUUCUAUUUCCCAAGAAAACAAACAUCUCCACUAGAACUUCCAAGUAGAAUGUGGAAGCAGCACAGUCUCCUGAGAUCUGGUUUCCAGACAAAGGGAGUUCAGACAGAAAUUGGAGCUUCUGAUUGGGUUUUGAACUCUGCCUGCCCCCGGUGUUCUCUCCCCUUGAACUGGCAAUAGGAAUUGCAUCUCUCUCAUCUGGCUGAACAGUGGCUGCAGUUGCCUUUGACUCGUGUGACUUUAAACAGGACAUUGGUAGAAGACUUGAACAAAUAAACUGGACUCUAUGAAACCAUCACAUUUAACUGUCCCUGUGGUACACGCUCCUUGAAACUUGCUAAUUCAUUAUGUAACAAAGGAAUUCUCAUGCUGAUUGGAAAAAAGAAAAAGCUAGAAUUAUUUUCAAUGACAUACUCUUUAUUCUUUGUUUUUAUUCGUUAUUAUUUUAAAAGUUAUAAAUUUCAUAUUAAGAGCUACUCGCCCUAUGGUAAAAUGUCUUUCAUCUCCAAUAUAAACUUUCUAAAAAUUUCAAGUUCAAUUCAAAGAUUUGGGAGUCCUAAGAGCAGCCUCUGCUGAUGCUAAGGAAAUUGUUUCUCAAUUUUUCCAGUGGAUGCAUGAGAUUUUUUUGCAUAUCCACAAAAAGUUUGUAAGAACUGUUCAGUGUUUGUAUGUCACUUGGAAAAUAUAAAAGCCUUCACGGAUUAUAAAUUUAAAGUAACUCAAGUAAAUAAGAGGAUCAGCAUUAAAAAUCUCGGAUACUACGAACAAUAAAGUUGAAACCACAAUGGUUUUACGGUGCAACAAUAGAAUUAUGGUACUCUAACGAGUAGGAUGUCCCUGUCUCUUUCCCCUCUAUAAUAAAUGGGAGUACUGGUGCA